CAAAGAGCAAGCCCUCAAUAAAUUGUAGCUAUUAUGUUUUUUCCAAGCAGAUGUAGUCCCUGCCCUGUAGAAAUGUGUGCUUUGAACCAGCUAAUAUUUACUCUGAUUCCUUUUUGAAAUGAUAAAUGGCAGAGAUUGGGCAAGGUCAGCUUUAUGUGCAGUAGGAGCUAGUGUGAUCUAAGGCUUUGCUACUCAAAGCCUUCAGUAGCAUGGACCAGGGCAUCAGCAUCCCCUGAUGUAAGAAAU
This 246-nucleotide long non-coding RNA is filed under the name Pan troglodytes (chimpanzee). RNAcentral describes it as "long non-coding RNA NONPTRT015371". Lineage: Eukaryota; Metazoa; Chordata; Mammalia; Primates; Hominidae. The record is from RNAcentral.